Molecule: ribosomal RNA, 832 nt
Filed under: Microdochium seminicola
Lineage: Eukaryota; Fungi; Ascomycota; Sordariomycetes; Xylariales; Microdochiaceae
Description: partial 28S ribosomal RNA
Source: RNAcentral
GAUAGUCUUUCGCCCCAUGCGCAGAUUUGACGAUCGAUUUGCACGUCAGAACCGCUGCGAGCCUCCACCAGAGUUUCCUCUGGCUUCACCCUAUCCACGCAUAGUUCACCAUCUUUCGGGUCCGAACAGUUAUGCUCUUACUCAAAUCCAUCCGAAGACAUCAGGAUCGGUCGAUGAUGCACCCGUAAGGGCUCUCACCUCCGUUCACUUUCAUUACGCUUGAGGGUUUAACACCCAAAAACUCGCAUAAAUGUUCGACUCCUUGGUCCGUGUUUCAAGACGGGUGGCUGAUGACCAUUAUGCCAGCAUCCUAGCCGAAGCGCGGUCCUCAGUCCCAGCGGCGGUAUUACACAGCAGGCUAUAACACUCCCGGGGGAGUCACGUUCCUGAAGUCUUUAUCCCGCCGCCGAAACUGAUGCUGGCCUCAACCAAGCGGAGUGCACCGGUGAGAACACCGGAUGAUCCGCAAGGCAAAGGUCUGGUCACAAGCCCUUCCCUUUCAACAAUUUCACGUACUAUUUAACCCUCUUUUCAAAGUGCUUUUCAUCUUUCGAUCACUCUACUUGUGCGCUAUCGGUCUCUGGCCGGUAUUUAGCUUUAGAAGAAAUUUACCUCCCAUUUAGAGCAGCAUUCCCAAACUACUCGACUCGUCGAAGGAGAUUUACAGAGGCUCGGCAUCCAACCGUACGGGGCUCUCACCCUCUAAGGCGUCCUGUUCCAAGGAACUCGGAAGGUACCUAACCAAAAUCAUCCUCUACAAAUUACAACUCGGACCCGAGGGCCAGAUUUCAAAUUUGAGCUGUUGCCGCUUCACUCGCCGUUACUAGGGCAU